This 99-nucleotide signal recognition particle RNA is filed under the name Chloroflexota bacterium. Its description in RNAcentral is "Chloroflexi bacterium (hot springs metagenome) signal recognition particle sRNA small type". It matches the Rfam family "Bacterial small signal recognition particle RNA". Rfam says of the family: The signal recognition particle (SRP) is a universally conserved ribonucleoprotein involved in the co-translational targeting of proteins to membranes. Archaeal SRP consists of a 7S RNA and homologues of the eukaryotic SRP19 and SRP54 proteins. The record is from RNAcentral. Lineage: Bacteria; Bacillati; Chloroflexota.
GGUUGGGUCCUGCGCGGCGGGAUCUUCGAACCGUGUCAGGGGCGGAAGCCAGCAGCACUAAGGAGUCAUUCCCGGGUGCCGCAGGAGUGCCUGACCUGA